This 433-nucleotide ribosomal RNA is filed under the name uncultured bacterium. RNAcentral's name for it is "partial 16S ribosomal RNA". It matches the Rfam family "Bacterial small subunit ribosomal RNA", at positions 29 to 507 of the family's 1533-position model. The record is from RNAcentral.
AACGAACGCUGGCGGCAUGCCUAACACAUGCAAGUCGAACGAGACCUUCGGGUCUAGUGGCGCACGGGGGCGUAACGCGUGGGAAUCUGACCUUCGGUUUGGAAUAACUGAGAGAAAUUUCAGCUAAUACCUUAUAAUGUCUUAGGACCAAAGAUUUAUUGCCGAGGGAUGAGCCCGAGUAGGAUUAGGUCGUUGGUGGGGUAAUGGCCUCCCAAGCCGACGAUCCUUAGCUGGUCUGAGAGGAUGAUCAGCCACACUGGGACGGAGACACGGCCCAGACUCCUACGGGAGGCAGCAGUGGGGAAUAUUGGACAGCGGGCGGAAGCAUGAUGCACCUAUGCCGGGUGAGUUCUGAAGGCCUUAGGGUUGUAAAGUGUUUUUAACCGGGAUGAUAAUGACAGUACCGGGAGAAUAAGCCCCGGCUAACUCCGUG